Molecule: ribosomal RNA, 372 nt
Filed under: uncultured bacterium
Lineage: Bacteria
Description: bacterial SSU rRNA
Rfam family: Bacterial small subunit ribosomal RNA
Source: RNAcentral
ACGGGAGGCAGCAGUGGGGAAUAUUAGACAAUGGGCGCAAGCCUGAUCCAGCCAUGCCGCGUGAGUGAUGAAGGCCCUAGGGUUGUAAAGCUCUUUCAACGGGGAAGAUAAUGACGGUACCCGUAGAAGAAACCCCGGCUAACUUCGUGCCAGCACCCGCGGUAAUACGAAGGGGAGCUAGCGUUGUUCGGAAUUACUGGGCGUAAAGCGCACGUAGGCGGAUUGAUCAGUUGGGGGUGAAAUCCCGGGGCUCAUCCCCGGAACUGCCUUCAAUACUGUCUGUCUAGAGGUCGAGAGAGGUGAGUGGAAUCCCGAGUGUAGAGGUGAAAUUCGUAGAUAUUCGAGAGGAACACCAGUGGCGAAGGCGGCUCA